This 250-nucleotide ribosomal RNA is filed under the name uncultured archaeon. Its description in RNAcentral is "partial 16S ribosomal RNA". It matches the Rfam family "Archaeal small subunit ribosomal RNA", at positions 1 to 255 of the family's 1478-position model. The record is from RNAcentral.
UUCCGGUUGAUCCCGCCAGAGGUUACUGCUAUCGAGGUUCGACUAAGCCAUGCGAGUCGAAUGUAGCAAUACAUGGCGAACUGCUCAGUAACACGUGGACAACCUACCCUUAGGUCAGGGAUAACCCCGGGAAACUGGGAAUAAUACCUGAUAUGGCGCGAAGGCUGGAAUGCAUCGCGCAAGAAAGCUCCGGUGCCUAAGGAUGGGUCUGCGGCCUAUCAGGGUAGUAGUGGGUGUAACGUACCUACUA